GACGAACGCUGGCGGCGUGCUUAACACAUGCAAGUCGAACGAUGAAGCCUAGCUUGCUAGGUGGAUUAGUGGCGAACGGGUGAGUAAUACGUGAGUAACCUACCUUUAACUCUGGGAUAAGCCCGGGAAACUGGGUCUAAUACCGGAUACGACCAAUCUCCGCAUGGGGUGUUGGUGGAAAGCGUUAUGUAGUGGUUAUAGAUGGGCUCACGGCCUAUCAGCUUGUUGGUGAGGUAACGGCUCACCAAGGCGACGACGGGUAGCCGGCCUGAGAGGGUGACCGGCCACACUGAGACUGAGACACGGCCCAGACUCCUACGGGAGGCAGCAGUGGGGAAUAUUGCACAAUGGGCGCAAGACUGAUGCAGCGACGCCGCGUGAGGGAUGACAGCCUUCGGGUUGUAAACCUCUGUUAGCACGGAAGAAGACAGAUUGACCGCACCUGCAGAGAAAGCGCCGGCUAACUACGUGCCAGCAGCCGCGGUAAUACGUAGGGCGCGAGCGUUGUCCGGAAUUAUUGGGCGUAAAGAGCUUGUAAGAGGUUUGUCGCGUCUGCUGUGAAGGCCGGGGCUUGACUCCGUGUAUUGCAGUGGGUACGGGCAGACUAGAGUGCAGUAGGGGAGACUGGAAUUCCUGGUGUAGCGGUGGAAUGCGCAGAUAUCAGGAGGAACACCGAUGGCGAAGGCAGGUCUCUGGGCUGUAACUGACGCUGAGAAGCGAAAGCAUGGGGAGCGAACAGGAUUAGAUACCCUGGUAGUCCAUGCCGUAAACGUUGGGCACUAGGUGUGGGGAACAUUCCACGUUUUCCGCGCCGUAGCUAACGCAUUAAGUGCCCCGCCUGGGGAGUACGGCCGCAAGGCUAAAACUCAAAGAAAUUGACGGGGGCCCGCACAAGCGGCGGAGCAUGCGGAUUAAUUCGAUGCAACGCGAAGAACCUUACCAAGGCUUGACAUAUACUGGACCGCAUCAGAGAUGGUGUUUCCCUUCGGGGCUGGUAUACAGGUGGUGCAUGGUUGUCGUCAGCUCGUGUCGUGAGAUGUUGGGUUAAGUCCCGCAACGAGCGCAACCCUCGUUCUAUGUUGCCAGCACGUAAUGGUGGGGACUCAUAGGAGACUGCCGGGGUCAACUCGGAGGAAGGUGGGGAUGACGUCAAAUCAUCAUGCCCCUUAUGUCUUGGGCUUCACGCAUGCUACAAUGGCCGGUACAGAGGGUUGCGAUACUGUGAGGUGGAGCUAAUCCCUAAAAGCCGGUCUCAGUUCGGAUUGGGGUCUGCAACUCGACCCCAUGAAGUCGGAGUCGCUAGUAAUCGCAGAUCAGCAACGCUGCGGUGAAUACGUUCCCGGGCCU
This 1347-nucleotide ribosomal RNA is filed under the name uncultured bacterium. Its description in RNAcentral is "bacterial SSU rRNA". It matches the Rfam family "Bacterial small subunit ribosomal RNA", at positions 28 to 1381 of the family's 1533-position model. The record is from RNAcentral.